ACCUGACUGGCUGAAUCGGAAGAGCACGUGACUCUCAAUCUCACAGUCGUGGGUUCAAGCCCCACGUUGGGCG
Molecule: transfer RNA, 73 nt
Filed under: Felis catus (domestic cat)
Lineage: Eukaryota; Metazoa; Chordata; Mammalia; Carnivora; Felidae
Also listed under: 2 other names
Rfam family: tRNA
About the family: Transfer RNA (tRNA) molecules are approximately 80 nucleotides in length.
Source: Rfam by way of RNAcentral